Small nucleolar RNA from Silurus meridionalis, 136 nucleotides. RefSeq annotates it as small nucleolar RNA SNORA5. Lineage: Eukaryota; Metazoa; Chordata; Actinopteri; Siluriformes; Siluridae. The transcript has a single exon. The record is from RefSeq and is a predicted model, not a curated record.
CGCAGUCUAGUCAAAUUCAGUGUGUCCUCUUCAGUGGACUGUACUGGCCAAAUGGCUGCUAUAGUGAUGUCAUAGUCCAUGGGCCCCGGGUCUAACUUAAAUAGAUACUGGGGAUAAUUAAUGGCUAUGUACAACC